This 427-nucleotide ribosomal RNA is filed under the name uncultured bacterium. RNAcentral describes it as "partial 16S ribosomal RNA". It matches the Rfam family "Bacterial small subunit ribosomal RNA", at positions 355 to 774 of the family's 1533-position model. The record is from RNAcentral.
UGGGGAAUAUUGCACAAUGGGCGCAAGCCUGAUGCAGCCAUGCCGCGUGUAUGAAGAAGGCCUUCGGGUUGAAAAGUACUUUCAGCGGGGAGGAAGGUGUUGAGGUUAAUAACCUCAGCAAUUGACGUUACCCGCAGAAGAAGCACCGGCUAACUCCGUGCCAGCAGCCGCGGUAAUACGGAGGGUGCAAGCGUUAAUCGGAAUUACUGGGCGCAAAGCGCACGCAGGCGGUCUGUCAAGUCGGAUGUGAAAUCCCCGGGCUCAACCUGGGAACUGCAUUCGAAACUGGCAGGCUAGAGUCUUGUAGAGGGGGGUAGAAUUCCAGGUGUAGCGGUGAAAUGCGUAGAGAUCUGGAGGAAUACCGGUGGCGAAGGCGGCCCCCUGGACAAAGACUGACGCUCAGGUGCGAAAGCGUGGGGAGCAAACA